GGCUCAGGAUGAACGCUGGCGGCGUGCAUAACACAUUCAAGUCGAACGGACUAAUGGGGCUUGCUCCAUUAGUUAGUGGCGCACGGGUGAGUAACGCGUAUCCAACCUGCCCUUCAUAUUGGGAUAGCCUUCCGAAAGGGAGAUUAAUACCGAAUAACAUAGAGUGGUUGCCUGAUUUCUCUAUGAAAGCUCCGGCGAUGAGAGAUGGGGAUGCGUUUCAUUAGGUAGUAGGCGGGGUAACGGCCCACCUAGCCGACGAUGAAUAGGGGUUCUGAGAGGAAGGUCCCCCACACUGGAACUGAGACACGGUCCAGACUCCUACGGGAGGCAGCAGUGAGGAAUAUUGGUCAAUGGGCGCAAGCCUGAACCAGCCAAGUAGCGUGAAGGAUGACUGCCCUAUGGGUUGUAAACUUCUUUUAUACGCGAACAACCGCAGGUACGUGUACCUGUCUGCGUGUAGCGUAUGAAUAAGCAUCGGCUAACUCCGUG
This 489-nucleotide ribosomal RNA is filed under the name uncultured bacterium. Its description in RNAcentral is "bacterial SSU rRNA". It matches the Rfam family "Bacterial small subunit ribosomal RNA", at positions 21 to 507 of the family's 1533-position model. The record is from RNAcentral.